UGUUACAAAUGUAUUUAUUAAAAAGCUGCCAAGAUAAUAAUAUUCAGCAAAGACACGCGUGAAUCCCAGUUUGUCCACCUGUUCUUCAAGGUAUUUUCAAGAGGUCAGCAGAAGGGGGCUGUGGGACCGCAUCACGUUCCAUUAAGAGAAUACAGAAAAUCUCACUUAAAUACCCAUGUGCGCUGAACCGGAUUUGUGAUACCACCUUCUCAUCUUCUUGAGAAACAGCAUUUAAGUGAAAUUUUUGCAUCCUCUACUAGAAAAAGACACAUAGAAACCCCUGGACACACUGAGUAAUCUUUAAACGAAGGCCAGGAAUC
Molecule: long non-coding RNA, 320 nt
Filed under: Bos taurus (domestic cattle)
Lineage: Eukaryota; Metazoa; Chordata; Mammalia; Artiodactyla; Bovidae
Description: long non-coding RNA NONBTAT005846
Source: RNAcentral